UGUUGGAGAUCCCUGUGUGCAUGAGGCCUUCUAAAGCAUUACAGUGGGGGUGAUUGGAGUUAACAGGAGCCCAUGACCAGCUGAGUAUGGAAUGCUCCUCUGGUGCAGAAGAUCACAUCAUCACUUUAUCAUUGCUCCAGAAGGACCGGGCAACGGAGCAUAAUUUAUCACUACAGCUCAAAGAUCUGCCAUGGCAGAGCCUGCUGCCUUGUGCCAAGCCAACCUGCCUGGUGUAACCUUUUGGGGGCAAGGAGGGUUGGCUGGGGAGCGAAGGCUACAGAAGCAACAAGCUAAGGAGAGCAGACAGAUCUCUGGCGGACCCAAGACCUUCUGGCUAGACACAGAACUGGAGAUGCUCAUGUGAAAAAAAGCCAUAUAGAAAUGAUACACAAGUGAUAAAAGCUCUGAGUUCUCAAAAGAGUUACAGACAAGUCAUGUGCAAGACCCCAGCCCCAUCAUCUCCCACCUGAGUGACAAAGUGCUCAGCACAGCAACUGCACCGUGCCCUUGGGAAAGCCGACUGUGAAGCCCAUCCAUGAAAGCACUAAAGACAUUUGGUGCUUUUUCUGAAUUCCGGUUGUGCGGCGUUAUCAUAAUGAUUCCAUUUCACACCCAGGACAGAUCUGAGUCAGACCUGUUUGAUUCCACUGGAAGAGCUGAUGGAAGCUUUAACACUUUGAGGAGAGUUCAAGACGAUUUUACAGCAGCGCGCCUUGGGGAAAUUGAAAUGUCAAGCAUAAUUUGGCACUUGAAACAUGAAGGAGAAAGGCUUUUCAUUUGUUUUCAUCUGCAUCUUCCCCUCCUCUGAACUGUACAUGCUUCAUUUCCCUCUCUUCCCUUAGCUUUCAUUAGGCAGUGCUGAAAAUCUGCUGGAUUUGAGAAAUCUCCAAGGAUAAACAAGUAUCUGGUGUUAACCUGCUCUGCAAAAGUCAAUUUGACAUGUCUCACUAUUCUUCCCUUCUUGUUAGGCAAACUAGACCAAAACAAGCUUUUCCCCUGUUAUCUAUGUUUUCCCAUGCAUUCAUUUGAUUUUUCUUGUAAGUCUAGGGGAUUAUCGCUCACUAGUCUAAUUCUUAACACUAUGGGUUCCCUUGAAAAAAAGAAAAUAGGCUUUUGAUCUGGGUUUCAAUCUCAGCCCUGGAUCUGAGGUGAAUCCCAGGUCUGCCUUCAGCCAAGGGCUCAGAGCGACUGCAGUCCCCAGCACAGUGUGGGGCAGCCAGGACUAGGAAUCUGCAGCUCUGCUCUCCCACUAAAAUAGAAGUGUUCUCACAGCUGUCAGCACCAAAACGAGCUGGCAAACAGGCCUCUGCUAGGUGCAGCUCCUGGGAAUGCUGAUAAUGUGUUCUUGGGAGAUAAAUUUUUAAUUCCCCCAUCAUCUGAGCAAUUUCUGGUGAGACAGAGCCCAGAUCCCCCCCGUACUCUGAAUUCUUCCCACAGGAGCUUUCCACGAGGCAAUGCCUAUUUGCUAUACGUGGAAGCUCGUGUGGCAACUUAGCAAUUUUGA
This is a long non-coding RNA of Numida meleagris (helmeted guineafowl), 1504 nucleotides long. RefSeq lists it as uncharacterized. NCBI's taxonomy places the organism in Eukaryota, Metazoa, Chordata, Aves, Galliformes, Numididae. The transcript has 4 exons. The record is from RefSeq and is a predicted model, not a curated record.